Molecule: ribosomal RNA, 301 nt
Filed under: uncultured bacterium
Lineage: Bacteria
Description: partial 16S ribosomal RNA
Rfam family: Bacterial small subunit ribosomal RNA
Source: RNAcentral
CAGCCGCCGCGGGAAUACGAAGGGGGCUAGCGUUGUUCGGAUUUACUGGGCGUAAAGCGCACGUAGGCGGACUUUUAAGUCAGGGGUGAAAUCCCGGGGCUCAACCCCGGAACUGCCUUUGAUACUGGAAGUCUUGAGUAUGGUAGAGGUGAGUGGAAUUCCGAGUGUAGAGGUGAAAUUCGUAGAUAUUCGGAGGAACACCAGUGGCGAAGGCGGCUCACUGGACCAUUACUGACGCUGAGGUGCGAAAGCGUGGGGAGCAAACAGGAUUAGAGACCCCUGUAGUCCCUGUCUCUUAUAC